AAGCAAGGCCAUUAGAAGUUACUUGAGUGCUAAAAUCAGAACAAUCCAGACAGGAUUAGCCUGACGGCUGAGCGAGGAUGAUGCCCAAAUUCGUGCAGCGUUCCAUAUUUUU
Small nuclear RNA from Panthera pardus (leopard), 112 nucleotides. The record is from Ensembl. Lineage: Eukaryota; Metazoa; Chordata; Mammalia; Carnivora; Felidae.